This 425-nucleotide ribosomal RNA is filed under the name uncultured bacterium. Its description in RNAcentral is "partial 16S ribosomal RNA". It matches the Rfam family "Bacterial small subunit ribosomal RNA", at positions 359 to 776 of the family's 1533-position model. The record is from RNAcentral.
GAAUUUUGGACAAUGGGCGAAAGCCUGAUCCAGCAAUCACGCGCGUGUGAAGAAGGUCUUCGGAUUGUAAAGCACUAUAAGUUGGGAGAAUGGGUUGUCGAUUAUUACUCUACAAUUUUGACGUUACCGACAGAAUACGCACCGGCUAAAUGCGUGCAAGCAGCCGCUGUAAUACGAAGGGUGCAAGCGUUACGCGGAAUUACUGGGCGUAAAGAGCGCGUAGGUGGUUUGUUAAGUUGGAAGUGAAAGCCCCAGGCUCAACCUGGGAACUGCUUUCAAAACUGGCAAGCUAGAGUAUGGCAGAGGGUGGUGGAAUUUCCUGUGUAGCGGUGAAAUGUGUAGAUAUAGGAAGGAACACCAGUGGCGAAGGCGACCACCUGGGCUAAUACUGACACUGAGGUGCGAAAGCGUGGGGAGCAAACAGG